Long non-coding RNA from Dermochelys coriacea (leatherback sea turtle), 146 nucleotides. RefSeq lists it as uncharacterized. Lineage: Eukaryota; Metazoa; Chordata; Testudines; Dermochelyidae. The transcript is spliced from 4 exons. The record is from RefSeq and is a predicted model, not a curated record.
AGCCACUCUUAGACUGUCCAGUUUGGCCAAUGAAGCACCAGCCAAUUUCCUAGCUCCCCAGCCUUGCACCCCUACUGGAGUAUACCAGAAUUAUAGAAUCUUGCACUGCACAGGGUUCUGUACGGUGCAAGCUCAUUAAAUCAGUU